AAGAAUUUAGGUUAAUUUUAAAAACUUAAAACCUUCAAAGUUUUAGAUAUAUGCAUUUGUAAUUCUUA
Molecule: transfer RNA, 68 nt
Filed under: Clavelina lepadiformis (light-bulb sea squirt)
Lineage: Eukaryota; Metazoa; Chordata; Ascidiacea; Aplousobranchia; Clavelinidae
Description: tRNA-Trp
Source: RNAcentral